Caenorhabditis elegans is the source of this 160-nucleotide small nucleolar RNA. The record is from Ensembl. Lineage: Eukaryota; Metazoa; Nematoda; Chromadorea; Rhabditida; Rhabditidae.
CUAUUUAAAAAAUUCGAAUAAGAUAACCUGAAAAAUUGUGAUGAAAUGUUUUUCAGAGCCGAAGGAAAUUGUUCAAUGAAAUUAUUGUACAAAUUGGUUUGCAAGCUAUUCAUUGAACAUUAAGAGCGAUAUUUUAUUGAUCAUGAUAAUUAUUUACAGA